This 29-nucleotide transfer RNA is filed under the name Ardisia glauca. RNAcentral describes it as "partial tRNA-His". The record is from RNAcentral. Lineage: Eukaryota; Viridiplantae; Streptophyta; Magnoliopsida; Ericales; Primulaceae.
CGAAUGUAACCCAGUGNAUUAAGGCAGUG